Long non-coding RNA from Balaenoptera acutorostrata (minke whale), 860 nucleotides. RefSeq lists it as uncharacterized. The record is from RefSeq and is a predicted model, not a curated record. Lineage: Eukaryota; Metazoa; Chordata; Mammalia; Artiodactyla; Balaenopteridae. The transcript is spliced from 3 exons.
GAGACACUUACCGAGAAACACGGCCAGAACCCUGUCACACGACGCCUGCAGCCUGGAUCUGCCUCUGCAUUUUUCAGCUGUCCCCAGAGCCAUGAACUCCUUACCUGCUGCCUGGAGAACGCUGAUCGCUCUUCUCACCUCCAUCCAAACAACCCCUGAGACAGCCUCCUGGUCACCGUCUCUCCUCAUUUGAUCCUUGACUCAACCGCAUGAGGCGGGUGAGGCAGGUGUGUGUCUGCAUUUUACAACUGGAGAAGCAGGUCAGAGAGCUUAAGUGACUCACCCAAGGUUUCCUAGCUAUCAAGUAGUGGAGUCUGAACCUGAACCCAGACCUGCUGCCUCCAAAGCCCAUGUGCUUCCACCACCCCAGGUCUCUGAAAUGGGUGGUCUCGGGGGUGGGGAGCAGUAGCUAAACCUGCAUGAGUUAGCUCCAGGGGUGGACGACCGAGGCCCUGAAUGCCUGCCCCCAUCUUCACCAGGACAAGGACGGUGACAGAGAACAGCAGCGGCAGGCUCACCUCACCCUUCUAACCCGCUGCCCACUGUCUGUCAGGUCCCUGGCAUAGAGCAACGCCCCCUGCACCAAAUGCGUGCCACCCCAGUGCAGAGUGUGACGCUGCGUGAGUCACAAGCAAGGCCCCGCUGGUGCAGCAGGUUCAGAGGACGGGGCCAGGCGGCUGACGAUCCUCCCUCCUACUUCCCGGGCACAUCCAAGGAGACCAGGCGGGCGGGCAGAGUGCUCAUCGCCAGCCCAGCUUAGUGGGAAGCUUUCUCUGCCCCCUGCAGAAACACAGAUGUGGGAAAACAACAACAAUGACAAUAAUGCAUUUAAAAAAAUAAACUUUCACUGAGUUCCCAUA